UCUCCGUUGGUGAACCAGCGGAGGGAUCAUUACUGAGCGUGUAAAAACACUCAAAACCAUAGCGAACCUACCAGUGGGAUGUAUCGUUGCCUCGGCGCAGGCUGGGAGCUUCUGUAAACUCCCCCACGCGGACUCGCCUCCGCGCGGAGCAGGCCCGCCGGCGGCCCCUACCAAACCUCUUGUUUUUACAGUGUCUCCUCUGAGUUACAAACACAAAUGAAUCAAAACUUUCAACAACGGAUCUCUUGGUUCUGGCAUCGAUGAAGAACGCAGC
RNAcentral lists this unclassified non-coding RNA (274 nucleotides) under uncultured fungus. Its description in RNAcentral is "sequence contains ITS1, 5.8S rRNA gene". The stretch from base 226 to 274 matches the Rfam family "5.8S ribosomal RNA", at positions 1 to 49 of the family's 154-position model. Lineage: Eukaryota; Fungi. The record is from RNAcentral.